ACGACUCCCGGCAACGGAUAUCUGGGCUCUCGCAUCG
RNAcentral lists this ribosomal RNA (37 nucleotides) under Homalomena hanneae. RNAcentral describes it as "partial 5.8S ribosomal RNA". The record is from RNAcentral. Lineage: Eukaryota; Viridiplantae; Streptophyta; Magnoliopsida; Alismatales; Araceae.